GCAGUCGAGCGAGAACCAGGCCUUCGGGCCUGGGGAAAGCGGCGAACGGGUGAGUAACACGUGGGCAACCCACCCUUGGUACCGGGAUAGCCCGGGGAAACCCGGAUUAAUACCGGAUGGCCCAGCAGCUCUUCGGGGCGGCUGGAAAAGGUAGCUUCGGCCUCCGACCAAGGACGGGCCCGCGGCGGAUUAGCUUGUUGGUGAGGUAACGGCUCACCAAGGCGACGAUCCGUAGCUGGUCUGAGAGGACGAUCAGCCACACUGGGACUGAGACACGGCCCAGACUCCUACGGGAGGCAGCAGUGGGGAAUCUUGCGCAAUGGGCGAAAGCCUGACGCAGCGACGCCGCGUGGGGGAAGAAGGCUUUCGGGUUGUAAACCCCUUUCAGGAGGGACGAAGCCACUCGGGUGAAUAGCCCAGAGGGUGACGGUACCUCCAGAAGAAGCCCCGGCUAACUACGUGCCAGCAGCCGCGGUAAUACGUAGGGGGCAAGCGUUGUCCGGAUUUAUUGGGCGUAAAGAGCGUGUAGGCGGCCAUGUAGGUCCGUUGUGAAAACUCGAGGCUCAACCUCGAGACGCCGAUGGAAACCAUGUGGACUAGAGUGCGGGAGAGGAAAGUGGAAUUCCUGGUGUAGCGGUGAAAUGCGUAGAUAUCAGGAGGAACACCGGUGGGUGUAGACGGCUUUCUGGACCGUAACUGACGCUGAGACACGAAAGCGUGGGUAGCAAACAGGAUUAGAUA
This 741-nucleotide ribosomal RNA is filed under the name uncultured Actinomycetes bacterium. RNAcentral describes it as "bacterial SSU rRNA". It matches the Rfam family "Bacterial small subunit ribosomal RNA", at positions 57 to 784 of the family's 1533-position model. Lineage: Bacteria; Bacillati; Actinomycetota; Actinomycetes. The record is from RNAcentral.